CAAGGCGACAACUAUCCACCAAAACUCUAAUGAGGGGUAUGUAAGCAAUUAUAGGCAACCAUACAAUCUUUAAUAAUGAGAAAAUCCCAUACCGUAUGGUCGGAUUUAAAAGGCCCUACAUGAGUAAUAUUUAACAAUUCAAUUGAGAAAAAUAACGAUCCAAUUAACAACAAAACAGUUUAAGACAAAGAAAUAUGAUAGACAUGAACCAACGACAACCACUGAACUAAAGGCCCCUGGCUUUAGAUAGACACACGAAGAAUGAAUGUGUGUGUGGGGGAUUAAACAUGUUUUUGAG
RNAcentral lists this long non-coding RNA (298 nucleotides) under Mytilus galloprovincialis (Mediterranean mussel). The record is from RNAcentral. Lineage: Eukaryota; Metazoa; Mollusca; Bivalvia; Mytilida; Mytilidae.